Molecule: ribosomal RNA, 253 nt
Filed under: uncultured Syntrophobacter sp.
Lineage: Bacteria; Pseudomonadati; Thermodesulfobacteriota; Syntrophobacteria; Syntrophobacterales; Syntrophobacteraceae
Description: partial 16S ribosomal RNA
Rfam family: Bacterial small subunit ribosomal RNA
Source: RNAcentral
UACGGAGGGUGCAAGCGUUAUUCGGAAUUACUGGGCGUAAAGCGCGUGCAGGCGGGUGUACAAGUCUGAUGUGAAAGCCCCGGGCUCAACCUGGGAAGUGCAUUGGAAACUGUACAUCUUGAGUGCUGGAGAGGAAGGGGGAAUUCCCGGUGUAGAGGUGAAAUUCGUAGAGAUCGGGAGGAAUACCAGUGGCGAAGGCGCCCUUCUGGACGGCAACUGACGCUGAGACGCGAAAGCGUGGGGAGCAAACAGG